GGGGGUUUCAAGGAGCUCCAUUCAGUCCAAUAAAGAGGGCAAAGGAGCGGUUAGAGCUGCCGCCUCAUGCAGUAGGCUAGCCUUAUUAUUUCUUUUCAGUGCGUGGUGACUAUAGUGAGAGUUACGUUGGAUGGAGCAGAUAAAUAUGUAAGUUUAGCCAUUUGCAUGGUGUGGGAGCAACUCCUCCCGCUUACUCUGCUCGCUCAUUGGACUGAAGGGAGCUCCCGUUGAAUCACUA
This 238-nucleotide microRNA precursor is filed under the name Nelumbo nucifera (sacred lotus). Its description in RNAcentral is "MIR159 microRNA precursor family". It matches the Rfam family "MIR159 microRNA precursor family". Lineage: Eukaryota; Viridiplantae; Streptophyta; Magnoliopsida; Proteales; Nelumbonaceae. The record is from Rfam by way of RNAcentral.